CAUGACCUGAGCCAAAGUCGGAUGCUCAACCGACUGAGCCACCCAGGGCGCCCACGCACAAAUAUCUUGUGUGCUGUUGUCAAAACCCUGCGUCUGCAGACCUGGAGAAGGCAGAGACCAAAACCCCACCCUGUAACCAGAAAUGCUGGGAGGACCCGCCACACCAGAGCCGACCACCAGGUGGCACUAGUGCUGAGCUAAUAUGGGCUCGGCUUUUCCUCUCAGCUUUCCCGAGAGGCCGCCGCAUUUAACAGAGGCCAGUGAUUAGAAGCUCUCCGCGCUGACCCCUAUUCAGGCCCAGGUGGCUCUGAGUCUGCAAGUGAAUCUCCGGCCAGAAGCAGAUUUGUUCAGGAACUUGGGCAGCCAAGACCGCAGCUUUGGGUUGGAAAUGUGCCAUAGAGGGAUUUUUAAGAAAUUCUCGCCCUCAUGGAGCUUAGGCUGUCUUCGAGAAGGAAGGCGGUGUGAGGGGAUCGGCACACAGCAGGACGCACAGUGCUUGUACCUGGUUUUCUUCUUUCCGCUCUGCCCUUUGGUGGUCGGUCCACAGCUAGGACAUCGCUGUCACUUCUCUGCCAAGGGCUCCCUGGCAGGAUGCUCACCUUCACCUCUCUGCAGAACUCUUGCCAACCUGAGGACCAGACCCUCGAUGUGGCUGUCUUCUCUCCACUCAGAAGGACGAGGAAGGGGAGGAGGAGGAGGAGGCCAGGAACAUCAGGUUCUCACCUACAGGAUCAGCUCUGCGGCAACCAACCAGGACCCAGGCUAAGCAGAGAUGAGAGCCGUUAAUCCCACCAGACUAACGCCUGAGAACUGGAGUCCGGGGUGGGGGGUGGGGAUCACAAGAAUAUGUCCUACUAAAAGCUCUCCUGUGACUCUGCUGUAUCGCCGGGUGAGGGAACCGCUGCACCAGGACUUAUCAUCAAGUUGCUAGAUUUGAAAGUCUGAUCUAGAAGAUUUCAACUCCGAAAGUUUGGUUCAACCUGCUGUUCCACCGUGCCCCACCCUCUGGCCUUCCCCUUUGCCCUGAUGGUGCCCGGAGAUCUCAGUGUCCUUAACCACCCGGUUUGCUCAUUAGUUUUCACUGUCUGUUAGCAGUCUUGCCCCAGGGGGCAGCUCGGGUCCCUCCUGGUGCAGAUAACUAAUAAUCCACGUUGAAGCUAGAAGACCAGCGCACAUCCCAGCAGGGCGUCCUUUUCAUUACUCAAGCUCAACGUAAAUGCAUUCACUGGGUCCUCCUCUCAAGCAGCUCCUUCUCCUGGCUUCUUUGUUUCUUUCUGAUCUUAGAUGGUAAUUCUUCUUGGGGCGCCUGGGUGGCUCAGUUGGUUGAACGUCCGAC
Leopardus geoffroyi (Geoffroy's cat) is the source of this 1336-nucleotide long non-coding RNA. RefSeq lists it as uncharacterized. The transcript is spliced from 3 exons. The record is from RefSeq and is a predicted model, not a curated record. Lineage: Eukaryota; Metazoa; Chordata; Mammalia; Carnivora; Felidae.